CGGGUGCGUAACGCGUAUACAAUCUACCUUUUGCUGAGGGAUAGCCCAGAGAAAUUUGGAUUAAUACCUCAUAGUAUAUAAAAGUGGCAUCACUAUUAUAUUAAAGGUUACGGCAAAAGAUGAGUAUGCGUUCUAUUAGCUAGAUGGUGUGGUAACGGCACACCAUGGCAACGAUAGAUAGGGGCCCUGAGAGGGGGAUCCCCCACACUGGUACUGAGACACGGACCAG
This 229-nucleotide ribosomal RNA is filed under the name uncultured bacterium. RNAcentral describes it as "partial 16S ribosomal RNA". It matches the Rfam family "Bacterial small subunit ribosomal RNA", at positions 103 to 334 of the family's 1533-position model. The record is from RNAcentral.